AAGAAAGCAUUGAAUUGGGAGAACCUGCUGCACGUGAUCCCGCUGGAGGUCAGAUGUCUGGUGAGCAACCUGUGAUGAAGACAGCAAAGAAAAUUUAUGACAAGAAAUUCAAUGAGCUCUCGGGAAAUGACAUAUUCAAGGGCGAUGUUACUCCAUCAUCUGCUGAGAAACCUCUAAGUUUGGCAAAAUUGCAAGAGAUUAGCGGUAAUGACAUAUUUGCUGAUGGGAAGGUAGAGCAUCGAGACUACUUAGGUGGUGUACGCAAACCCCCGGGCGGCGAGAGCAGCAUUGCCUUGGUUUAACUUGUUAGGUCUAACUCUGUUAUCUCCCAUCACUGUGUCUGGUUUUAUUUUAUUGCUAGAGUGGGGAUGUGGUAUUAUAUUAUUUGACCUUAUAUUGCGGGUUUUGGGAUUAUGUUUAGGCCUUAACAUG
Molecule: unclassified non-coding RNA, 432 nt
Filed under: Hevea brasiliensis (rubber tree)
Lineage: Eukaryota; Viridiplantae; Streptophyta; Magnoliopsida; Malpighiales; Euphorbiaceae
Source: RNAcentral